This 373-nucleotide ribosomal RNA is filed under the name uncultured bacterium. RNAcentral's name for it is "bacterial SSU rRNA". It matches the Rfam family "Bacterial small subunit ribosomal RNA", at positions 523 to 898 of the family's 1533-position model. The record is from RNAcentral.
ACACGUAAGGGGCAAGCGUUGUUCGGAAUUAUUGGGCGUAAAGGGCGUGUAGGCGGUUCUGCAAGCCUGGUGUUAAAUACCACAGCUUAACUGUGGGAAAGCGCUGGGAACUGCGGGACUAGAGUUUAGGAGGGGAAGCUAGAAUUCCAGGUGUAGGGGUGAAAUCUGUAGAUAUCUGGAAGAAUACCAGUGGCGAAGGCGAGCUUCUGGCCAUAGACUGACGCUGAUGCGCGAAAGCGUGGGGAGCGAACAGGAUUAGAUACCCUGGUAGUCCACGCUGUAAACGAUGUGCACUAGGUGUUGGGCAGGAUUGUUCAGUGCCGUAGCAAACGCGAUAAGUGCACCGCCUGGGGAGUAUGCUCGCAAGGGUGAA